ACAGCCCGCGAGGAAGCCCGUCGGGGCCGGCGGGGCUGAUGGAAGGCCUGAGGAAUUCGCAGCCGGCGGCGCGGCCGGGCGCGUUCCCUUCCCCUCUCUCCGUUGCCCGGCGAGGGAGCCACAGCGCAGCGGUUGCCAUGGCCACGGGCCGGGCGUGGGGCUGGGGGACCAGGGGCCGCUGAGCCUCGAUCACCUUGUCCUGCUCGAGCCAGGUUGGCAUGGACUGGAAGAACCCCGCGGCGGCGGGCGGGAGGUGCUGGGGCCAGGGGAGGCCCCGAGGGACCCCGCCGCCCGGUCUGCGCCCUGAUCCCGCAGGGUCCUGUGGAAAUGCGGUGUCUGCCUCCCCGCCUCCUGCGCUCACACAUGCAGGCCUGGGGCCUGCGGGUCCCGGGGCUCUGAGCCUGCACAGCCCACGGGCCGCAGCCGCAGGCCCCGCACUGGUAGCUUAGGUGGACACGGAGGCUGAGGGGGAGUUUCCAAGGGGCCUGGCCUCACGCUCUGCCCGUCACAGCCGCCACCCCUCACCGGCCCUCCACCCACCCCUAACUCCUUAACCUCUCCCGGCCUCGGUUUCCUCACCUAUUAACUAGAGAUUAGUCAUAGCUACCAUCCAGGCUUGUUAUAUUAAAAUAGAAUAAUUAUGUAAUGUGCCGUGUGCACUCCAAACGCGGUCCUCUUUCCCUGUCCCACACCUCCUUCCUCCUGCAUCAGGCCUGGGGAGGGGGGCGUGCCGAUGUCACCCCCAACCCCCAGGCCUAGAGUCCUGGACACAUGGACGCCCCUGCCAGAGCUCCCCUCCCCGCGCUUGGGGUUACUUUGAACCCCGCCUCCUACAAGAGGAUGGUCCAGCCUAUUGUCGGAACCUGCAGGAAUCCCAGGCUGCGACCCAAGAAUAUUAGCGGAGGCCCAGCCUGGCUGGGGCUCUGCAAGUCCGACCUGGGUGCCCCAGAGAGCUGCUCCGGGAAAGACGUUUACCUGCUGCCCAGAGCUGGGACUGCAGACCCUGAUUGGCGAGGGCUUGGAGAGUAGCUGAGAACCUUCCCUUCAGCUACUGAAGACCAGACAGGGCUUUCUGUAUCACGCUGCCUGACGAUGAUGAGGGUGCAGUGACUAAGAGUGCAGAUGAAAGGCCCAGCUCUCCAACCAGGUGGAUGGAUUUGCAAGGAGCUUCUAUCUGGGCGUGGUGGCUCAUGCCUGUAAUCCCAGCACUUUGGGAGGCUGAGGCGAGCGAACCACCUGAGGGUGGGAGUUCAAGACCAGCCUGACCAACAUGGAGAAACCCCAUCUCUACUAAAAAUACAAAAUUAGCCGGGCAUGGUGGCAGGCACCUGUAAUCCCAGCUACUCGGGAGGCUGAGGCAGGAGAAUCGCUUGAACCCGGGAGGCGGAGGUUGCAGUGAGCCAAGAUCGUGCCAUUGCACUCCAGCCUGGGCGACAGAGUGAGACUCCAUUUCAAAAAAAAAAAAAAAAAAGAAAGGAGCUUCUGAGAGAUGGGGUCUCCACCUCCCCAUCAGAUACUCCAGGGCUUUGGAAAGAGCUGGCUGGCUCUUGGGCAUCACCUCAACUUUCCCCUAGGUGACGCUGCCAAGGAACUGUGGCACUGUCCCUACUUCCCACAUCCAGCUCCACGGUUCCACCUCCCACCCCCCUUGCCUGUGGAAGCUCAAAAUAAGCUUUCUAGAGCAUGAUGUUUCUUGUGUGAGGGGUCAUCUGAGGUUGUAAAGACUGAAGCUCUUCACCAGAGAAACGCAGGAAGCAUCCCGCAGCUAAGUGAGGCAAUGUCUGGGGCACGCCAGGCCACGCCAGGUAGCUCAGAGGGGAGGAACGCCCCUGGCUACACAGCCUGCGUCUGAGCCCUGCUGGUGGCCAGGCCAUCUGCUGGGCUCCAUCCCUGGGCGUCUUUCCAGCCUGUCUUCAGUGCUCAGGGCGUCUUUAGCAGAGCAUAAAGUGGCAUUUCACUUGUCCCUCUACCCAACAGCAAGGAAGUGGACCUCUCUUAGGCUUUUCUUGGAAGACGAAAGGAAAGAAAGAACGUUCUCAAUGUGAGAUCCUACAGGACCACUGUACUGGGUCGAAUGGCGUCCCCCCCCACCAAAUUCAUGUCUGCAUGGAACCUACAAAUGUGACUUUGUUUGGAAAGAGGGUCUUUGCAGAUGUAAUUAAGAUGUACUCCACAGGCCUGGGGAGAUCAAGGCUAACAGCAUGUUGUAUGAGGAUGGCCCCAGUCCAAUGACUGAUGCCCUUAUAUGAGGGAAAUCUGGACACAGACACACAGAGAAGGCCACGCGGUGGUGGAGGCAGAGAUGGGAGAGAUGUGUCUACAAGCCAAGGAGCGAGCAGGACCGCCGGCCACCACCAGGAGCUGGCAGGGGCAAGGAAGUCAUUCUUCCCUGGGGGCUUCAGAGGGAGCACGGUCCCAGUACACCUUGAGUGUUGGCCUUCUGGCCUCCAGAGCUGUGAGAGAAUCCAUUUUGGUUGUUUGAAGCUGCUGAGUUUGUGGCGUUUUGUUACGGCUGUCCCAGGAAAGGAAUACAAUCACCAAAUGUCAAACACAGGGCAGCUGGGAAAAACAAGAGGGAAAUGCAUGAGGCACGUAAAGAAAAGACUUGGAAGAGACCAAGGAGGGACAGGAAGGAAUGCUUCCUCAACUUCCUCCUCGCACCCGGACAGGAAGCCGGAGACCUAGUGGCUGAGCCUUGGAAGAAGCGGCUACCUAUUCCCCCCCACAAGAGCGGGUGAGCUUGGAUGUCGGAUGAAUGAGAAGGGUCUGAAUCUUGCUGGGUCCCAGGGAGACCCUGUUAAUAAUAACAAACUCAAGAUAUGGUCUCGUCUCAUCCUCACCACAGUGCCUAAAGCAGGUUUUAUUGAAAUCCCCGUGUAUAGAUUAGGAACAAGGCAGGGCGGUUGGGUGCCUGCCCAGGGUCAUAGGCAGCAGCAGUGAUCUGGAACUGGAGCCCAGCUUUCCCACACCCUGCCCUUACCACUUGUCCUCUCCUGAUCCAGGGCUCCAGUGCCCAUGUCCAGUGCCUUGGUGGGGCUGGGCCAAGAGGCACAGCGAGGGCCCUGGCCACAGGCAGGGGCGUUGGAGCCCUGCUGCCUAGGUUUGGAUCCCAGCUCUACUCCUGGUGAGCUGUGUGACCUUGGGCAAGUUACAUUACAUCCCUGUUUUGCAGUUUCACCCACUGAGAAAAUAGGGACAAGAAUAGUACGUAACUCAUGGAGUUGCUGGAGACCUCCAUGGGUCAGUACGUUUCAGGUGCUUAGAAUAGUGCUUGGCACACUGGAAGCACAGCCAUAAAAGUGUUGUGAAAUAAAUAAAACCCGCUGGGCGAGAGAACUCUUUCUUUCAUAGCUGGGGCCAAGGAGAGGGCUUCAGGAUGGUGACCUGUCUUAUUCUUACUCCACAGACAUGGAGAUAUCAAGGCCAAUAGCAUUCUCAUGCAGUUCUCUUCUAUUUCCCAUAGAACCCUCAAGACCAGCAAGGGGGACACCUGAGAGCAGAAAGCAGAGUUGCACCCACAUUCUGGGCAGGCUGACUCAGUUGCUAGAAUCCUGCCUCUAGGGCCAAGAUUACUGUUUGAUCCUGAUCUGGGCCAGCUUUGUCCUACUGGAGGAAAGCUUGGAACCCUGAAUCCUACUUGGUUGGUCUCCUGCUUGGCUGUUUUGCUCACAGUGGGAACCUGGUCUGGGGUGAUUCACUAUCACUCAUCGCUCCACAGAAGGAUGGUGCCCGGUGCACAUCCCCAGGAUAGUGUUAACCGUCACCUUUACGCAUGGCACUCAGAAUGCGCAGAGUGGUGUGUGCAUGCAGCAACGUGUAUACACCCUGUGCAUCUGGGAGGUCCUCCAGUCAUCUCUGGCCGCGUCCUGCGGAGGGUGCUGCAGCCUCUACCUGGCCUCUGGCUCUUUCUUUCCUUUCCUUUCUUUCUUUCCUUCUUUCUCUUCCUUUCUCUUCCUUUCCUUUCUUUCCUUUCUUUCCUUUCUCUUUCCUUUCUUUCCUUCCUUUCUUCCUUCCUUCCUUCCCUUUCUUCUUUCUUUUCUUUCCUUCCUUUCCUUCUUCCUUCCUUUCUUUCUUUUUCUUCUUUCUUUCUCUCUCUCUUUCUUUCUUUCUCUCUCUCUUUCUAGAGUCUUGCUCUGUCACCACGCUGGAGUGCAGUGGAGUGAUCUCGGCUCAUUGCAACCUCUGCGACCCAGCUUCAAGCGAUUCUCCUGCCUCAGUCUCCCAAGUAGCUGGGACUAUAGGCAUGCACCACCACAAACAGUUAAUUUUUUUUGUAUUUUUAGUAGAGAUGGGGUUUCACCAUGUUGGCCAGGCUGGUCUUGAACUCCUGACCUCAGGUGAUCCCCCCCACCUUGGCCUCCCAAAGUGCUGGGAUUACAGAGGUGGCUCUUUUAAUUGACUCCUCUCCAGGCAUCUCUCCUUCCAGCCACAGAGCCUGGCCUGAUGGUCCCAGGGCCCCAGGGCCCCAGGUGAAGGCCUCUCUCCUCCCCCACUCAGGUCUGACCAGCUCUGUUUCCAUCCUGGUGUGGGCACAAGGUCUCUUGCUGCAGCUGGGCCAGUUUGCUGACCUUCUCAGCUCCUUCUCUUAGACUGGAGAGGCCUGGAAGGGUGCCCGAGGGAGGGUCUGGGCUGCUCUCCUGGGCUCCUCCCCUCCACUCCAGGACUCUGGCUGGAGCCUGGUCAGGGUCCUUACUGAGUUCUCAGCCAAGCGCCAGCCCUGUGAUGGCCUGAGGGGUCUGGUGGGGAAGCCCCAAAGUGAGGGCUCCAUAGCCCUCACUGUCCCUCCCCCAGCAUUGUGCAGUGCCGGCGGUCUCUGAGUUCUUCUGGGUAGCCUUUCUACCACAUCCUCUUGCCUACUUUCACCAGGUGGCCAAGGGACACUAAAAAAGGCAGUGAAUAGCUAGAGGACCACUCUUGAAAAUCAGCCUGCCUUCCUCCUGGUGCCAGCUCCUGUCCCUCCGGCCUCCUUUUCAUAGAAUUCUACAACAGGAGGAAACAGAGAGGUCAUCUCCUCCACCUUCACCAAGUUUCCAGAACGGAUGGGUUAGAGGGAUCUGGCGUUCUCUGAGGCUUCGGGCCAAACCUUGGACAUUGGGCUGGCCAGAGAUCUUGCUGGGGUUGCCUUGGGAAUUGUAUAUCCAUUGGGAGCACUAGCCCUGAACACCUGGGGCUCCCCACCUGCUAGGAGCUGGGAGGACUCUGGUGUUCCCUGCAACCCCCCAGGGUCUGGGUGGACGGAAUGGCAGCCCAGGACUGUUCCCCAGGCUGACCUGGACUCUGAUGAGAGCCAAGAGUGGACCUAGCUGUCAUUUAGAUCCCUGGGGGAGCCUUCACAGUAGCUGCCAAGCAGAGGUCCUGGCACUGGGGAGGGUUCUCACACGUAGGAGGGGCAGUACUUAAGCAAGUAACAGUGGAGAGGGCACUGGAUUUGACAUCAGCUGAGAGGUGGUCCGUUUCUGCUUCUCUCACUGCUUAUCUGUGAUCUGAGGCAAGCCUAAACUCCUCUACAGCUUAGUUUACUCAUCUGGAAAGUGUGGUAUAUUUUAUUUUACCUGCCUUACAUCUGAGGCAUGGAGGAAGGACGGAAUGAGAUCACCUAUUAAAAUGCAUUUUGAAAAAACAAAAGUGCUAUUUAUGCAAACACAUGGUACUAAAAAUAAAAGAUGCCUGUUUGCUUCUGGAAGUAAAAGUUGUGAAUGAUGCCGGGCGCUGUGGCUCACACCUGUAAUCCCAGCACUUUGGGAGGUCAAGGCGGGUGGAUCACAAGGUCGAGAGAUCGAGACCAACCUGGCCGACAUGGGGAAACCCCAUCUCUACUAAAAAUACCAAAAAAAUUAGCUGAGCACGGUGGCACACGCCUGUAGUCCCAGCUACUCAGGAGGCUGAGGCAGGAGAAUCACUUGAACCCGGGAGGCGGAGGUUGCAGUGAGCCGAGAUUGCGCCAUUGCACUCCUGCACUCCAGCCUGGUGACAGAGCGAGACCAUCCG
This 5988-nucleotide long non-coding RNA is filed under the name Homo sapiens (human). RNAcentral's name for it is "non-protein coding lnc-PGS1-2:8". The record is from RNAcentral. Lineage: Eukaryota; Metazoa; Chordata; Mammalia; Primates; Hominidae.